UACGGAGGAUGCAAGCGUUAUCCGGAAUGAUUGGGCGUAAAGCGUCCGCAGGUGGCUGUGUAAGUCUGCUGUUAAAGAGUGAGGCUCAACCUCAUAAAGGCAGUGGAAACUACAUGGCUAGAGUGCGUUCGGGGCAGAGGGAAUUCCUGGUGUAGCGGUGAAAUGCGUAGAGAUCGGGAAGAACACCGGUGGCGAAAGCGCUCUGCUAGGCCGCAACUGACACUGAGGGACGAAAGCUAGGGGAGCGAAUGGG
RNAcentral lists this ribosomal RNA (253 nucleotides) under uncultured bacterium. RNAcentral's name for it is "partial 16S ribosomal RNA". It matches the Rfam family "Bacterial small subunit ribosomal RNA", at positions 524 to 776 of the family's 1533-position model. The record is from RNAcentral.